CCCUGAAGUGGCAUGAGUGCAGGGGUGAUGUCUGCCCCUCCUCAACCCUCACUACCUAUGGCAGUCAGGAGAGCUGGCCCCAGGGGCAGGAGAGCAGGAGAGCACAGCCUGCAUCUUCCCUGGGAAGCACCGUAAGGCUAGCCCUGGUGGAGCCAGACGAGGGACUGAGGCAUGAAGAAGUGAAGUGGCUUUCUCAAGGCAACACAAGCAGUACUCAGUGGCCCAUAACUGAAACUUCCAGGAGGGCCAGUCUAGACCCUCCGGACUCUCACAACCAACUCCAGACUACCUGACCCUUUCUCAAGACACGCAGAGAACAACCUGGCACUUGGGGGACUCAGAAACACAAAGACUGAAAGGUUGAAAUUAAAUCACAAAGGCUCUAAAUGACAGGUUAAGGAAAGACUCAACUAUUCUGUAAGAAAACGUAAACUUUUCCUAAUCAAUUCUGGGGCCACAGAGAGGACGGGUGGCAGAGAAUGAUUGGCAGAGGUUGGGGUAGAUAAGCCAGGCAGAGAGACAGAAAUAAUAACCCCAACCCCAGCAGAAGGUUAGGGUGGUCUGGAUCAAGAAACAGUCAUGAGAAUAGCAACAGAGGACAUGAGCUUUGAAGCCCCACCCACCCCGGUGUCAACAGGGCUGGGUUACCAGCCAGCUAUUCCAAUUAUUCAUAGAAAUCAAUUUCAUUCCACAGAGGCUCAGAUAAAGCUCAUGUUGCCAGCCGACAGUAAUGGAUGAGAAGCUUAGGGUGAGGAGAUAAGAAGAGACCCAGUGUGGGGUGAUCGGGUGGGGCUUUGCAGGCCGAGGGCAGUGUGGUUAGAGGUUAUCAAAACAUCCCUUCAAAUAGCAAAGGUUCAGCGCCAGCCAGCUCAGCUGUGAUCUGUGUGCGGAGGGACAAGCUAGCCCUUCCACAGGCCUGAGCCAUGAGACCCAGAUUCAAGGUCCUUGAGUUUUAUUCCUACCAACAGGGGGAAACUAAUUCAGUUUUGACUGAGGUGGAGGCUCAAAAGAUUAUAAAGCAAGAUGCUCUCUGAGGCCCUGGCCAUCUGAGGACCAGGAAUUGCAUGUAUGUGUCUUUUGUGUAUUUAUGGCAUUAGGAAAAGAAUGGUUCCUUCACAGCACUCAAGAGCUAGUGAGGAAGACAGAAAUGUCUACAUUGUCUCAUUGAAGCAUGGGCAGAAAGGCUUGGCCCCUAUCACACUUUCUAGGAAAAGGUCCCAGGACACCCCUAGAGACAUAAGACAUAAGACAUAAGACAUAAGACAUAAGACAGAAAAGAGUGUAGGAGAGGAGGUUUGCCAAGAGAAGAAUAGAACAGUGAGAAACACUGGGGUUCCCACAGUAGGGUAGAAACACGAGAGGCCAAAGAUGCCCAGAUGAGAAAUCAGAGGGAGAAUUAAGUGCCCAGUAAUAAAUCACUGAUUCUUAUAUCGUACUGUUCACUCUGCUGGGCAUCAUCCUGUGUGUUUCACAUGAAGUAAUCAGCGUCAUCCUCAUGACCACCCUCACUUUAAACCAGAGGAGGCCAAAGCUUUGAAGUAAAGGCAAUUCUCCCAAAGUCAAAACUACAGGGGAUGGAGCUGGCAUGUAGAUACAGGCAGUCUGACUUCAUCACAUCACUACAAUGAGUUCCACUUGCAAGGGGCUCUCUGCAAGAUCAGCACAAGCACUCGUAGAGGCACUGUACUUCUUAUACCUCAAGCAGCUUGUGCCCAUUGUGUAAGAGAAGCUGAGGCUCAAAGACAUGCUAUGUCCACAGUUGCAUUACAGAGAACUGGCAGGGGCCGGCAGGCAGACCUAUCUCUCUUCCAGGUCACCUCUAGAUCUUCCUUGUUGAAGAGCUGAACAGCUGUGUUGGAGCAUCCCCCAGAGAAAGACAGGACUGAGAGUCAGUCUCAUCCCACCCUGCUCAGACAGCUUUUCCUCACAGCUCCAGAUUGGCCUGAAAGGCCCCAUCUACCAACACUCAGAGCUGGGAGGAGAUAACUCCUUUUUAUCUCUGCAGAGGGUUCAAUAGUUUAUUCCCACCCAGGGCAGUGGGGUGCCUGGUGCCCGUUCUUGGAAGGUGUCCAGCAGCAGGACAAAUGUGAGGCACUUCCUAUCCUUCUCUCUUGCACGUGCUCGUCUCCACACCCUACUGUCACCAGCAGGAAACAUCUCAGAUGCAGAUCGUCUACACAGACACCAGGUCCAGCGGAAAAUAACCACCCUGAGCUCAGAACUCUGGCCAGCAAGGCAGCCAGUUGGUAGGAAUAUCACAGCUCUGGAAUGGCCUAAACCAGCAUGCUUUCUCGGCUCUUCCACCUUCCAGCUGUGUCUGGUUAAGCUAUUAUUAAAUUUCGCUUUAUUAUAACUCCCAUCUUGGGAAGUUGCUACCAGGGCUAAGACAAGAAAGAUAAAGUAGGGACUGGAGAGAUAGCUCAGCAGUUGAGAGUGCUGGCUGUUCUUUCAGAGGACCUGGGUUUAAUUCCCAGCACCUACACAGAGUAUUGCAAUCGUCUAGAACUGGAUAUCUGUUUCUGGAUAUCUUUCGCCCUUUUUUGGCCUUUUGGGAAACCAAUAUAUGUGUGUGGUGCACAGAGAGCUGUGCAGAGAAAACACUCAUACACAUAAAAUAAAUACAUCAUCAUCAAUCAAGUAUUCAGUAACUCAGCCCUGGAUCAGGCCAAUAGCUGGGGCUGGGAAAUUACCCCUCCUUUCCUGCUUACACCACAUGAAUUUGACUACCUACUAUGAAUGAAACCAAAACCCCCACUGAAGCCCCCAACAAUAGAGCAAGUAAGCCUACCUUGCUUUCCCAGCACUCUCUAGUGCUCCCCACACUCUGCAGAGGAUGGAGCACACCCCCUUAGCCUGGAAUUCGAGGGCUUCUUGGGUACCCAGGUCUGGUCUCCAGGGCCCAGGUGACUCACUACCCUUGAACAAAGCCUAUCUUCAGGCUCCAGAACAUCCUUCAAGACCUGGAUCAUCUGCCGCCUCCAGAUCCCCGAGGGAGAAUGAAUCACUUGCUCUAUUGUGCUCCCACAGUUCUGAGCUCAUUCUUCUUUGUGCUGUGGACACAGAUUCUUGUAUCUGUCUCCCCAGAGUGAGCUCUAGCUAGUCAGCAAGAUGUAUCCCCAUUAUUUCAUCACUUAUUAGGCACAGGUUUGUAAAGGAAUCCAAUAGCAUACCCUCGAAUGGAAGCGGCUCCUUUAAAUGCUUACCUGGUGUGAACACCUUCUUUUGGAGACUCAGAGGCCUAAGGCUUGAGGCUAGAGAGGGCCUGUGGGAGAUACAGGGUGUUGAGAAGGAUAGGAACAAUAGACAGGUCCAGGGUUGUAGGAUGAGCUAGCAAGAUGAAAACAAAGACGGUCAUGUCUGCUCUACAGUUAGGUAGUCCAAGAUCCUCCAUGGCUCUCCACUGCCCUCUGGAUGAAGGUUAAGUUAUUCUGACUUCCUAGUUGCCUUGUAAUGUAGUCUCCACCAGCCUGUAAACCUGAUGUCCUGUUAACGUCACACUCAGAUCACUCUGUACCACUCUGGAAUCCAGAACAGGCCCUUGGCUUCAGGGCCUCAUUUGCUGUUCUCUCCUUGGGUGGCCUUCCCUUUCUCCAGUCUACCUGAAUCUAAUGAUGCUCAGGUGUAAUCUGAGGUGCCACUUCCGCUGAAGGUUCCCUGGCUGCCUCUCUCCACAUACAGUGAGGCAGGGCAGCAACCACAUCAGAGUAUAUUCAGUCUGUGCCCUCAACAGCCAACACAGACCGGAAAGAAAUGAGAAUCAUCUAUUGAACAAAUGAAUGAAUGAAGUAUUUGAACAAGAACUCUAGGCCACAGGUAAAAACACUUUUUUUUUAUCCCAGCUCUUGAAAAAAAGCUCAGUAGUUAAGAGCACAUACAGCUCCUUGCAGAGGGCCAGAGUUCCAUUCCCAGCACUCAAGUCACACGGCUCACAACUACUUCUAUCUCUAGAUCCUGGACAUUUGACAUCCACUACUGGCCUUCAUGGGCACCUGCUUUUGUAAGCACAUAAAAAUGUGUGGACACACAUGUGUACGUAUAAUUAAAAAAUAAAAAUAAAAUAACUCCUUUUAUAAAA
Molecule: long non-coding RNA, 4075 nt
Organism: Meriones unguiculatus (Mongolian gerbil)
Lineage: Eukaryota; Metazoa; Chordata; Mammalia; Rodentia; Muridae
Exons: 3
Source: RefSeq, a predicted model, not a curated record